UUCCCCCUAUUUUAUCUCUAAAACUACGAAUCCAUUGACCGCAAUGAUCCAACGGCUCCCAUUUGAUCAUGCAUUUUAACUAGCCAAAGACGUCAAACCCUAAUCAUUAUAUCCUUGACCGGCCACCCUUUCUUCCCCUUCCUCUCUCUUUUCUCUCAUCUCCAUCAAACCCCAUCGUACUGAAAUAUUUAUGUUGUCUCUCUUCCAACCACGAAUGCCACUGAGAUUUCCUUUUUUGUCAAUCAAUUUGAAUCCCAAACCCUAAAAUCCUAGACCAAAGAAAAAAGAACUAAUAUAAUCAUUUCACCUUCUACUCGUUCAAAUAACUACAUGCAACUAUAGAUUCAUGAGAAUCUUGACUAUAUUAUGAUGAUUCUUGAUCCAGAGAUCAAACACAGUGACCUCUGGACAUCGGUUUUGACUGAUGGUCUAUUUGGCUCUAACAGCCAAUUUUCUUCACCAUUUCAUACCAAGGUAAACUUCUUUCAGAUUUUCCCCCUCUCUUCCCAUCUUUCCUUUUUUUUUUUGCUCUUAUCCGUAACUCAAUCGUCAUCUUUCACUAUCCUUUCGAAUUCAGAUGAACCCUAAUGCUCUAAUGCUCUUACCUAACAAGAUGAAAUACCUUAAAAACCAAAGUAAAUCUAUCUGUUUAUAUACUUUGAAUCUCUUCUCUAAUUUUUUUUUCUUUUCUUUCACUUUUGCUAGAGUUUGACCACAGUGAGUUGAUUGUGAGAUUGAGUUCUUAAAAGGCUACAAAUUAUCCUUACUUGGUUUACUGCUCCGAAGAAGGUCAGUGCAUCACGACCUCCCUUUUUUAUCUUUCAACUAAUUAUGUAACUCUUUAUUUGAUGUUUUUCCUGUUAAUCACCUUUUGUUCAUGGUAUACAUCAGUAACAUUGUGACUAUUCUUGCUAUGUUCUGCUUUUUGUGUUAUGCUCAAUUUUGAGUUAAUAAUAUUUCCUGAUAGUUAUGUUAUCUCUAUGUUGUUGUUGAACUCUAUUUCUCAUGACUUAGCUAGUAGAAAUGAUUUUACACUAUUGUAGUCCUUAUAAGCAAUCAUGUUGAGCUUUCAUGAACUAAAUUCUAUGUUAAUAAUUAUAUGUGUGUUCCAUCCUUGUUAGUUGAAUAAUAGCCAUAUAUAUAUUAUCAUGUUGACUGAACUAUGUUCUUGAACUUCUCCUGAUGUCCUGUUAAGAUUUUAUACUUGAUGCCAUAAGCUAUCUUGAUCUUUAUGCCUAUGAAAUUGUAUUGUAUUGUUUUAGCUCAAUGAAUGAUGUUCAGCACUGCUCAUAUUCUCAUGUUGAUCUGUUUGCCAGAAUGGGUUAGUUGGCAGUCUUGUUCAUGAUGCUAUGUUGUACUAAAUAUUUAAGAUAGAAUGAUUCAUGUGAGUCUAUCGUGAUAAUAAAAUAAAUGGAAUCAUGUGAUAAACUUGUUGGCAGACUUAUCGCUGAACCUGCCUAUUUAUUGUAUUCUGCUUGUCUUACCUAGAUCAGCCAUAAAAUGGGUGUCUUUACUUGCUAUCUCAUGACUAUCCGAUAGCAUUGUUUGGAUAAUCCUCACUUAUAAAUAUGAAUAUGGUUUGGUUAUGGUCAUCUGAAGGUCUGAUGGAUUGUACUUUGACAUGAUUAGAUAUCAUGCCUAUUAGGAUUAAAUAAAGACUUAAAUUAGGCUUCUUACUCAUGUUAGUGUCCCUGUUAAUCUAGUUGAUUGGUAUGCCCUUUGGAAACUCUGAGUAAUGCUACUAGCAUAAUUAUUCAAUAUAUGGAAGUCUUAGCUAUAUGCCUACUUGCUUGGAAAGCUAUGCUGAAACUGUUAUGAUGUUUGAGACUUGUUCUAGUGGCCUAAACCCACUUAAGGAAGUUCUGAAGUAUUGAACCUUUAGUGGAAUUAAUAGAACAAGUGCACAUGCCCAUCUUUGUCACUUACCGAUGCUUUAGACUACUCAAUAAGACAUCCUGAACUUGUAGUUGUAAGAAAUGGAACCUAUCUACUGGCAGCAUAUAAUCAGUUUUCUUUGCUUUCAUACUUCUGCUUGGUUGUAUCCUAGUAGUGAUACUCAUAAGUGUUCUGUACAUGUUGUGAUACUUAGAAUCAACAUCAGGGCCUUUUAUCACCAUCAAAACUUUAAUGAUCCACUUGUAGUGACAUGUUCUUAUAUUUUGUGUUCUAUUGAGAAUGUUUCAAGGUCAAUAUUGUUAAGUCCUUAGCUGCAUAUGGUUUGGCACUCUAAUGAUGGCCGUAAUUCUUAAAAUGGUUGUUUGUUUUCAAAUUGGUGUUUCUGUGUGGAUGAACCUUUGAAAGGUUUUAUGAUGAACCUUUUGUACUUGCCCCUUUCAUGUUCUAGGUUGGUUGAGCUGUUGAGUUAACAUUAGCUUGUGCUCAAACUUUUGAGGAAGAUUAAUGGUCAAUGUUCCAAAGUAUUUGGGUGUGAGCCUGGCUUUGUGUUUGAGGCAGCCCUCUCUGACACAAGCACUGCUCGAGGUCCAUGAGACCUGUAUGAACUCUGAAGUGUCAGGGGUCCAUAGGGGGACUUCAUAAAUAAACAUGGUUCACCCUAAGCCCUUAAUCAUUGAUCUUAACAAUCUUCAAAGGUUUAAAACAAAUGAAAAUUAACUUUAUCGUGCUCUUUAGAUAUUUAUUAUUUAUUAUAAUUUUAUAUUACUUCAUCUUUAUGUUGACGUAUACUAUUUAUUUUCACUUUCUUUUAUGCAUGAUCGAUUGGGCCUACUGAGUUCAUUUGGAAACUCAGGCCCGAGUUCAAGAAAUUGGGUCCCUUCCUUGCUACCUAUUGAGUCCGCUGCUGAUUUGAAUUCUGCUGGGCCUGGCUACUUGCCAACCCGAUAUCAAGAGUCCAGCCUUCUUUUCUUUUACUUAAAAUUAUUGCUGUUAUUAUUUGUUGUUUCUAUGUAUAUAUCUUUGAAGAACGAACCUUAUUAUUGGAUAUUCUUUUGGCAUCUUGAUUAUUUAGAAAAAUUAGGUAAAACAAGACUUAUAGAUAAAAGGUAUCUUUGAUCAUAAGGUUCACCUGUUUCAACUACUUUGAAGUUUUGAACCUCAAUAUUUUAAGACUAAUCAUUUAAUAAACAAACAACUUUUCUCUAUUUAUAUUUUGCCACUAAUGAGUUUUCAGUGAUCUUAGGCUUUCGCAGAUCCAAAGGAUGAAAAUAAAUCCUCUUUGAAAAAUCUUCAAAUGGAUCACGUAGAAGACACGAACUGUUUCAAAAAUAAAAGGUAAUCAUAUACAGUGGGUUUGCAAAGAAUAAUACCAAUGCUUUUGAAAACGCAAGGCCUUCUACUAGAGCAGUUUUUUUCUAAAACAAACAAGGUAUAUAUGCUUUCAAUAAAUAGCGUAUUUUGAAGCAAUCUCUCAUUCUACAAUUUAUAAAGACUCACAAAUAAGUAUUACCCCUCUAAAGGAGAUACACAACCUUUUCUCAAAGAUGAGUUUUCAAACAAUAUUCAAAACUUUCACAGAGCCUCAUUGAACAACUUCAACCAAAAUCAACUACGAUAUAGAUACUUUUUCCCCGAACCUAGCCUAAGUUUCAGGAUAUACCUCAGGUAGAUUUUAAGAGAUGUCUAAUACCUUCUCCUUAGAAUAACUAAAACCCUUACACCAAUUUCACUGGUUAGCAGACCACUAGGAUAAUAUUUUUACAAACUUAUAGGUACCCUAGUAUACCUUAAAUAUUAGGUGGCGACUAUUUUUAUCAAAUUCAGAAGACCUACUAGUUGUAUUUUAUUUUGACUUAAGCAAAUUAGGAUGCAACAACAUGGCGACUCCGCUGGGGAUGUAUACUUUGGUUCUGACCUUAGCAGACUUAGGCUAGACUUGAAUUUGGGGAUGUUUGUUUAUAUUCUACUUUAAUUGUGUAUUUAACCUGCAAAUAUGUGUUUACUCAUUUUAUCUUACUUGCUUACACUUUACAUGACUUUAUAACCUGCUAAUAUGUGUUUAUCUGUUUAUUCUUAAUAUUAUCACUAUGUCUCCUCAAUAACGUAUUACUACCUUAUACAUUGUCAUCACAUUUUUCCUAUCGAGUCUUGGUUGUACACAAUCACACACAAUGUAACGCGAGGGUUGUCUUUUUACCCCUCUGAACCUUCUUUUCAAAACUUUCUAGUUUCAAAGAAUGACCUUGUCAGGACAACUGACAUAUCGUCUCGCAGUUAUUCAGUCCAACUCUAAAUUUAAGAAACACUCUAUUCUUAGGAAUCACAAGUCAUACUGCAUAAACCUUAGGUGGUUCGGUCCUUGGUAUUGACUCAUAAUUAGGAAAGCCAUCAUAAUGUCAAUGGGUCAUACACCUAACGACAUGUCUUCCAUGGAACAACAAAUCAAUCCAGAUAAGACACCAAGGAUUUGGAGCAAAAUACUUACUAAACCAUUCACCCUUUUAGAUGGAAAUCAACCGCAAUGACCUGGAAAUUAGCAUGGUCAUGGGAGCACCUCACAAGCUGUAAUGAUCCGACCAGUUAUUUUGUAUAUUUGGGACCUGUUUCCCCUUUUGAUGCAUCACACAUGUGUAACGUAUUCUUUAUGACUUGCGGGAUUGAUUGAUUUCAUUCCAGGAAGACUUCAGGAUAAUUUAGACCAUUUGAUCCUUGGCUUAGAAGCCUAAGUUAUUUAUGAGAAUAUUUGACUUUUGUGAAAAAGAUAUCGGAUUGGUAUUUUGAUGGCUUCGAUAGCUUUGUAUUGUAAAUUAGAACUUGGACGUAUGCCCGGAAUCGAAUUUGGAAGUCCGUAGGUUGAUUUGUGUUGUUUUGUCAAAAAUUAGUAAUUUGGGAUUUAAAAGUUUGACCGUAGGUUGACUUUUGGCUAUCGGGCUUGGAAUUGGAUUUUGGGACUUGAAUAGGUCCACUAUGCUAUUUUUAACUUGUCUGCAAAAUUUGGUGUCAUUUGGAGUUGAUUUGAUAGGAUUCGGACGCUUAGUUGUAAUUCUAGAGGUUGUUGAACUUUACUUUGAAAUUUAUGCGUUUUGGUAUCCGAUUCGUAGUUAUAGAUGUUAUUUUUAUGUUUUGAUCAUGCUAGCGAGUUUGUAUGAUAUUUUAAGACUUAUGUGGAUGUUUGGUUUGGAGCCCCGAGGGCUCGGAUGAGUUUCAGACGUGUUUCAGAGUGUUUUGAACUUAUCACAGAAAAUCUGGUGUGCUGGUGCUCUGAUGUCGCAAUUGCUCUGAUAUCAUAAUUGUUUUAUCUUGCAUUGUUUAAUGAUAUUAAAUCAAUUUUGGUUAGAUAUGAGCCGCGUGAGGUGAAAUUCAGGGGAAAAUCUAUUUCCCAGGGUUCAGUUGGCCUAGUUGAGAUAAGUAUCUUGCCUAACUUUGUGGGGGGGAGGGGGGGGGACUUCCCCUUAGGAAUUGGUUUGUUUGUGCUAAUUUUGUUAUGUGAAAGCCGUGUAUGUAAGAUGACGAGUGGGUACACGGGCUAUAUUUGGUGUUUGACUGAUUUAGGCUAUUUAGACUCUUACAUGCCUUACUUGACGUUGUUAAAACAUGUUUCACCUCUUACUUGCUAAUUUGCUCUUAUAUGCCUUAGUUGAAGUUAUUUCAUUCCUUAUUGUUUGUUACAUCUUUAAUUUGUUGAAUUGUUUGUAAUUGAAGUUGUUAUUUAGUGAAAUAUCUUAUUGUUGAGUUAUUGGUGUUGAAGUUGAGAAAGUCGUUAUCACAUUGAGGUAAAGUUGUUAAUUGUUGAGAUAUGCUUUUUGUUUAGCAACUCACUUUCAUUUUGUGAUUGUUGAGAUUCUUGUGCAUAUUGUGGUUGAGCCAUAGGCCGUUUGUUGUGGAAACAUUUGUAUUGUUAAUUUUUUUGGCAAGUUGUGGCAUAUGGGCACUUGUGGUGCGAGUUGUGAUUAUGUUGUGAUAUUGAUACGCAUGCGGUGGUAUAAGGCUAGGGGUUGAUAUGCAUGAGGUGAGAUAAGGUGGGCUUGAUACGCGCGUUGCUAGUAGGGGAACUACUUGAAGCCACGUUGUGUGUUAAGGUGGGCUAAAAUGCGGGUAUCUAUUUCGGAAAACAUGAUUUUGAAAAUUAAAUAUAAGGCUCCCGCGGUGAUAUAAGGAAAUAUUGUAAUUUAAAUUGUGAAAAGUGAAUACGAGAUGGUACCUCGGGUGUGAUUCUUAUUGUGCAUUCCAUAUUGAAACGAGUUAUUGGUUGAACAGUUCUUGUUGCUUUAUUUCUUCCUUGUCUUACCAAUUUUGUUCUAUUUGAUUAUUUGAGAUUCUCCUUGGUUGCUUCCUUAUUGUUGUCUUUCUGCCUACGAUUCUGUAAUUAGUUAACGUUAUUAUACUGCCUUAUUGUCAUUUAUUUCCUCGCUUUCCAUUACUUCUCGUUAUUAUAUUUUUUUCUAUUUAUUAUGUCCUAGUAGGUGUCUUGACCUGGCCUCGUCACUACUCUACCGAGGUUAGGAUUGAUACUUAUUGGGUACCGUUGUGGUGUAUUCAUACUACACUUCUACACAUCUUUUUGUGCAGAUCUAGGUACGUCUUCACGUGCUGUCUUCAGGAGACUUCAAGGUAUACUGCUCAGCGUCCGCAGGCUUCGGAGUCACCUUCCAUUAUAUUUCCAUUUUUUUGUUCUCUUAUUUGGAUACUGUUGUAAUAGACAUUCUAGAUUAUCCUAUAGAUCUUAUAACUUAGUUCCACUGGUUUUUGGAAAUAUGUUGUUGAGAUCCUAUUUUGGAGGUUUAUAUGAGUUUAACUAUUUUACUUUAGUAUCUCUAUUUCAUCAUUUCUGUUAAAUUCUUAUUAAAUGUUAGGCUUACCUAGUCUUAAAGACUAGGUGCCAUCACGACAUCCUAAGGAGGGAAAUAGGGGUCGUAACACAAGCUAAAACAAUGGAGGAGGAAUAUCCGAUGAGAGCACGGAGAUAAAAUCAAGAUACAUAUAGGAGCAUUGACUGCACUAAUGAACAUU
RNAcentral lists this long non-coding RNA (6906 nucleotides) under Nicotiana tabacum (common tobacco). RNAcentral describes it as "long non-coding RNA (NTAB_LNC005701)". The record is from RNAcentral. Lineage: Eukaryota; Viridiplantae; Streptophyta; Magnoliopsida; Solanales; Solanaceae.